This 253-nucleotide ribosomal RNA is filed under the name uncultured bacterium. Its description in RNAcentral is "partial 16S ribosomal RNA". It matches the Rfam family "Bacterial small subunit ribosomal RNA", at positions 524 to 776 of the family's 1533-position model. The record is from RNAcentral.
UACAGAGGUCUCAAGCGUUGUUCGGAUUCAUUGGGCGUAAAGGGCGCGUAGGUGGCGGAGCAAGUUUGGUGUGAAAUCCCGGGGCUCAACCCCGGAACUGCACUGAAUACUGCCUUGCUUGAGCACUGGAGAGGGAACUGGAAUUUACGGUGUAGCAGUGAAAUGCGUAGAUAUCGUAAGGAAGACCAGUGGCGAAGGCGAGUUCCUGGACAGUUGCUGACACUGAGGCACGAAGGCUAGGGGAGCAAACGGG